AUUGAACGCUGGCGGCAUGCCUUACACAUGCAAGUCGAACGGCAGCACGGGAGCAAUCCUGGUGGCGAGUGGCGAACGGGUGAGUAAAGUAUCGGAACGUGCCCGGUCGUGGGGGAUAACGUAGCGAAAGUUACGCUAAUACCGCAUACGAUCUAUGGAUGAAAGCGGGGGAUCGCAAGACCUCGCGCGAUUGGAGCGGCCGAUAUCAGAUUAGGUAGUUGGUGGGGUAAAGGCUCACCAAGCCGACGAUCUGUAGCUGUGUCGGAGAGGACGACCAGCCACACUGGGACUGAGACACGGCCCAGACUCCUACGGGAGGCAGCAGUGGGGAAUGUUGGACAAUGGGCGAAAGCCUGAUCCAGCCAUGCCGCGUGCAGGAUGAAGGCCUUCGGGUUGUAAACUGCUUUUGUACGGAACGAAAAGGUUUGGCCUAAUAAGCUGAGCUCAUGACGGUACCGUAGGAAUAAGCACCGGCUAACUACGUGCCAGCCGCCGCAGUAA
This 501-nucleotide ribosomal RNA is filed under the name uncultured bacterium. Its description in RNAcentral is "partial 16S ribosomal RNA". It matches the Rfam family "Bacterial small subunit ribosomal RNA", at positions 30 to 523 of the family's 1533-position model. The record is from RNAcentral.